RNAcentral lists this transfer RNA (73 nucleotides) under Dallia pectoralis (Alaska blackfish). Its description in RNAcentral is "tRNA-OTHER". It matches the Rfam family "tRNA". Rfam says of the family: Transfer RNA (tRNA) molecules are approximately 80 nucleotides in length. Their secondary structure includes four short double-helical elements and three loops (D, anti-codon, and T loops). Further hydrogen bonds mediate the characteristic L-shaped molecular structure. tRNAs have two regions of fundamental functional importance: the anti-codon, which is responsible for specific mRNA codon recognition, and the 3' end, to which the tRNAs corresponding amino acid is attached (by aminoacyl-tRNA synthetases). tRNAs cope with the degeneracy of the genetic code in two manners: having more than one tRNA (with a specific anti-codon) for a particular amino acid; and 'wobble' base-pairing, i.e. permitting non-standard base-pairing at the 3rd anti-codon position. The record is from RNAcentral. Lineage: Eukaryota; Metazoa; Chordata; Actinopteri; Esociformes; Umbridae.
GUUUCUGUAGUGUAGUGGUUAUCACGUUCGCCUGACACGCGAAAGGUCCCCAGUUCGUGAGUGGGCGGAAACA